GCAUGUUCUUAAAGAUAAAAGUCUUUUUAAAAUAUUAAUCAUUUAUGUGAUUCAAUAGACUAACAAAUGGCACCUGGUACUGUUGACCAAAACAGGGGAAUCUCUCAGUCUCAAGUUCGUCUCCUACCCGUAUCUGUCACUGGGGGGUUGUAGGACUCCCAAAGGGAUAACCAGUUAAUAACCAAUAGAUAAUAAAAACAAGGCAGGCUGUACAAUAAGGAGACUUUGCCACAGAUAAGGAAUGAUUACAAUACCAUCUCUUGCAGCUCGAUUCACUGAUGGUUUUUUGGCCUCAGGGUGGUACCAUACAACAGGAUUGCUGGAACGUUUUGAUGGAAGCAGGAUCUUGCAGCAGGAUCAGAUGAUUGUUCUUUCAGGUGCAAAUCUUGAUGAAUUGCUGUGCACUGCUAUGGAUAUGAGCCCAGUUUAAGCGAUUUCCACACACCAACAGAGCCACCUUGUAUCUUUAAAAUAGUUCUCCUCCCUUCUGAAUGUUUGUAUCUCUGUGAAGAAAAUCCCUAAGGUACGAGAAUGUUUAGGACAUAGAACUAAUACCAGAUGUAAGCUAUGCAAGGGGGAAAAAACAGUCUGUUUACUGACUUAGAGCAUCAUAUGUAAAGUUUUGGGGCUGAGUUAAAGCCUCCUUCAUAAUUACAGUAACAAGUAAGCUUCUUUAUGAUAGUUCCAGAUAUAUGAUUUGCUUAAAAAAAUAACUCCAUCACCUGACUCCAUCUGCUCUUCAACAAACUGAUAAAACACCAGCUUUGAAAUGAGCUGUAGUGCGUGGGGUGGAGUCACAACAGAAAAAGGCAGCUUGCUCUUAAUUCAGCCUAUUAUUAUUUUUUUAAAACGAUUGAGCGCCAUAUGGGCUGCAAUAUUUUGACAUAAUGGUAUGAGUUACUAAGUAGAAGUAACUGCUGCAAUCAUUCAGUAAGGUCCCUUAUUUAAAAUCCUCAAGAAAUGUUCAGCGAGACACUUGAUAGUAUAUGUUAACCCUUCAACAUACAUACCCAGGAGUUUAAAAACAAAGGACCAGACACACAGCUGCUGUAACUUGGUACACCAGCUGAAGAUCUGGCCCUAUAUCAAAACAAAGAAAAACAAGUAGACUACAAAGAGAACUGCAAUCCUCUGUCAGUUUUAAAGGGUCUUAAUUGUAAUUUUAAGGGCCCUAAAAAGCCAGACAAAAUCACUGAUGAUCCAGUCCUGCAAACACUUUGUACCAGUACAGUUUACCACUGAUUUCAGUGGGAUUACUUGCUGUAGUAAAUUCUACACCCAUUGCUAAGGCUUUUUAACCAGUCCAAACCCCUGCACUGAUGGAUUUAUAAUGGUUUUUAAAUGGUUGUAUCGGCUUAGUUUGUGCCUACACAUUUACUGACACAAACUGAACAGAUAUAUAUCCAGUUUAAAUACAUGUAAAUGUUCAU
This 1430-nucleotide long non-coding RNA is filed under the name Gopherus agassizii (Agassiz's desert tortoise). RNAcentral describes it as "lncRNA (ENSGAGG00000019450.1)". Lineage: Eukaryota; Metazoa; Chordata; Testudines; Testudinidae. The record is from RNAcentral.